GCUGGUCUGAGAGGAUGAUCAGCCACACUGGGACUGACACACGGCCCAGACUCCUACGGGAGGCAGCAGUGAGGAAUUUUGCGCAAUGGGGGAAACCCUGACGCAGCAACGCCGCGUGAGUGAUGAAGGCUUUCGGGUCGUAAAGCUCUGUCAAGUGGGAAGAAACCACGAGGCGCUAAUAUCGCUUUGUGCUGACGGUACCACUGAAGGAAGCACCGGCUAACUCCGUGCCAGCAGCCGCGGUAAUACGGGGGGUGCAAGCGUUAUUCGGAAUCAUUGGGCGUAAAGGGCGCGUAGGCGGUUUGUUAAGUCAGAUGUGAAAGCCCGGGGCUCAACCCCGGAAGUGCAUUUGAUACUGGCGAACUUGAGUAUGGGAGAGGGAAGUGGAAUUCCUGGUGUAGAGGUGAAAUUCGUAGAUAUCAGGAGGAACACCGGUGGCGAAGGCGACUUCCUGGACCAAUACUGACGCUGAGGCGCGAAGGCGUGGGUAGCAAACAGGAUUAGAUACCCUGGUAGUCCACGCAGUAAACGGUGAUCACUAGGUGUAGCGGGUAUUGACCCCUGCUGUGCCGCAGUUAACGCAUUAAGUGAUCCGCCUGGGGAGUACGGCCGCAAGGUUAAAACUCAAAGGAAUUGACGGGGGCCCGCACAAGCGGUGGAGCAUGUGGUUUAAUUCGACGCAACGCGAAGAACCUUACCUGGGUUUGACAUCUCGGGGAUUUUUUGGAAACAAGAAAGUGCCCUUUGGGGAGCCCGAAGACACGUGCUGCAUGGCUGUCGUCAGCUCGUGUCGUGAGAUGUUGGGUUAAGUCCCGCAACGAGCGCAACCCUUAUCUUUAGUUACCAUCACUUCGGGUGGGGACUCUAAAGAUACUGCCCCGGUCAACGGGGAGGGAGGUGGGGAUGACGUCAAGUCCUCAUGGCCUUUAUGCCCAGGGCUACACGCGUGCUACAAUGGGCGAUACAAAGGGUAGCGAGCCUGCGAAGGUGAGCCAAUCCCAAAAAGUCGUUCUUAGUUCGGAUUGGAGUCUGCAACUCGACUCCAUGAAGCUGGAAUCGCUAGUAAUCGCGGAUCAGCACGCCGCGGUGAAUACGUUCCCGGGCCUUGUACACACCGCCCGUCACACCAUGAGAGUUGGUUGUACCAGAAGUUGUUGGGCUAACCCGCAAGGGAGGCAGGCACCUAAGGUAUGGCUGAUGAUUGGGGUGAAGUCGUAACAAGGUA
This 1225-nucleotide ribosomal RNA is filed under the name metagenome. Its description in RNAcentral is "bacterial SSU rRNA". It matches the Rfam family "Bacterial small subunit ribosomal RNA", at positions 286 to 1498 of the family's 1533-position model. The record is from RNAcentral.